This 506-nucleotide ribosomal RNA is filed under the name uncultured bacterium. RNAcentral describes it as "partial 16S ribosomal RNA". It matches the Rfam family "Bacterial small subunit ribosomal RNA", at positions 29 to 523 of the family's 1533-position model. The record is from RNAcentral.
AGUGAACGCUGGCGGUAGGCCUAACACAUGCAAGUCGAACGGCAGCACAGAGGAGCUUGCUCCUUGGGUGGCGAGUGGCGGCCGGGUGAGUAAUACAUCGGAAUCUACUCUGUCGUGGGUGACAAAGUAGGGAAACUUACGCUAAUACCGCAGACGACCUACGGGUGAAAGCAGGGGAUCUUCGGACCUUGCGCGAUUGAAUGAGCCGAUGUCGGAUUAGCUAGUUGGCGGGUGAAAGGCCCACCAAGGCGACGAUCCGUAGCUGGUCUGAGAGGAUGAUCAGCCACACUGGAACUGAGACACGGUUCAGACUCCUACGGGAGGCAGCAGUGGGGAAUAUUGGACAAUGGGCGCAAGCCUGAUCCAGCCAUACCGCGUGGGUGAAGAAGGCCUUCGGGUUGUAAAGCCCUUUUGUUGGGAAAGAAAUCCAUCUGGUUAAUACCCGGGUGGGAUGACGGUACCCAAAGAAUAAGCACCGGCUAACUUCGUGCCAGCCGCCGCGGUAA